Arachis ipaensis is the source of this 2641-nucleotide non-coding RNA. Lineage: Eukaryota; Viridiplantae; Streptophyta; Magnoliopsida; Fabales; Fabaceae. The record is from RefSeq and is a predicted model, not a curated record.
UUUUCUAUUCCUAGUAAUAUUAUGUAAACUGCAAUUUUACUUUCAUCUACUUGUAAUUCGAUUGAUCAUAAAUACAGAAAUUUUUUUUGGAGAGACACUGAACAAUAAAAAAAGAUUCAUCUGUUAAGUUGAAAGAAAAUUAGCAAGCCUAAAGGUUUAGGAGAUCUUAGUAUCCGGCACGCAAAAAACCUUAAUCAUGCCUUUAUGAUGAAGGUUGGAUGGAGGAUGGUGGAAAAAAAAAAGACAAUCUUUGGACUAGAGUGCUAUGCUCAAAAUAUAAGUAUGAAAAUGAUAUCCUUCCCAAUCACUACAACACACACGAAAAAUUGCGGCCGAAAAUUACCAACCAUUUCUUGAACCGCUGUGAAUUGGUGGGAUACCAGCGGUUCUCUUAGCAUUUUUAAGCUCAGUUAUAAAUCGGUCAAAAUAGCGCCUAUUUGGUAUUCCAACAGCAACAAAAAUCGAUCUGAAUAAAAAAACCUUCGCCUUCAACAUUCGGGAGCCAGUCUUCUUGUUUCGUGCAAACCCAAAGGGAGCAAAGGCGCGAAUCUCACUCAACAAUCCUUGCCGGCAUGUAGCUCCCCUUCAACUGCUACGUCCUUCCCCAUCACCGAUCUGCUUUUCUGCCGUUUAGCUCCCGCGUGCGAAAGAAAACUGGAAGGGUGCGAAACCAUCGUUCUUCCCUCCGCCGUGCUCAUCCGUGUCAUCGUGGAGUCGCGUGGCUGCCCAUCCGUCUUGGUGUUGUGGUCGUUGUCCUCGUCGUCCUUCCCCCUUGCCCUAUUGUGUGCUACUCGAUCACCAUCUCCCUUCUCACUGUUGAAAACCUCGAAGAAAAAGAAAAAUUAAAAAAGAGAUAAAAUGAUAUUCAGAUCAAAGCGGAAGCAACAAAAAUGGAGAAGAUCUGUGUUGCCAUUCGUCUUCGCCCUCCAGUUUUUGAAGACUCCUCUAAUGGAGAUUCUAAAAGGUCGAAAAGAAUCGUGUUUUGCUUCACAGGAUUCAUGACACACCACUCUCUAACUCUUUUUAUGCUUUUGAUCAUGUGUUCGAUGAAACUAGCACCAAUUGGUUCUACGAGCUGCUCACCAAGGAUAUAAUUCAUGCUGUGCUCGAUGGCUUCAAUGGCAUGUUUCUAAUAUAUGAACAAAUAUGAAGAAAGAAUUGAGGCUGAGAAAAAUCUGUUCUGCAGGUAAAAGAAGAGACACAGCAACUUGCUCGAAUUUUUGAAACAUUUGGGACUUUCAAGGUGAAGUGGAAAGGUGGUAAAGGAAAACUAAUUUUUGGAAGGUGAGGCUUAUUCUGUGCAAUUUUGAGCUAUUGAUUUAUUCUCUAUAUGGAUUAUGCUUCUAUAUUUAGUACUAAUAAGAAAUCAAAGAAAAGGCAUGACAUAGAACAAUAAAACAAUAGAAAAGCAUUAUGUCGCUAGUACAUAUUAGUAAGAGUUGCCCUGUUUUGCCACCAUGAUUGCUUAAAUUAAUAUGUGAUAAAUUAAAGACACGCAUUAUAUAUUAAUUAUUGCUCCUUUGUAUAUAUGAUUUGAUGUGGUAGAUAUCAGAUAAUGCAUCAUAUUCAAUUGCUUUGAUGCAGUAGAUAUCAAAUUUCACUAUUUUAUUAUAUCGAAGAGUGGAUUUGGAGUUAGAUUAAUUAGCUAAUUCAUUCAGCAAGUGGAUUGGUUAUGAAAUAAAAUUUGUAAUUGCUAGUCAAAUUUCUAUUGGUCAAACUCAUUUUGUAAGUAGUCUAACAUUUGGCAAUGUUACUUGAGAUAUAUAUGUUGUGAUUAAUGUUGUGUCUUUUGAGAUUGACUUAAGAAAAGGCACAUGUAAUUGUUAAAUUACUAAGCGGAUGAAUAUGGGUGAGGGGAGGAGUGAGGAACGCAAUUUGCCAAUCGAUUUCUUUUAAUACUUUCAAAUGACUAAUAAAUUGAGACUCUGUUGUUUGUGUUCUCCAGGUUCUAUGCAUUUUUCAUUAUUGAUAAAUGAUAGUUACUAUUUCUGAAUGGGAGGUACGAUCUUGUUAUGUUUCUAUUUAUGUUGCUUUUUGCUACUGUCUUUAACAUAUUGUCCAAUCUGUUAUGGGUGGAAGAAGAAUAAAGCUCAGUUCUUUUGCAUUUUUAUUUUGUUCUUUUUUUCCAACUCGAUUUCUAGCAUAUGAAAUUAGAAGUCUAAUGUUUCAAUAUCGAGAAGGCCCCUUGUGACCACCUGCAUCCUGAAUAUGCGUACGAGGAGACUGGUGUUUUUCUCUUGCGGAAGGAGAAGAAGAAGCAUUGAUUUCGGGAAGCUUUCUAAAUGAAUUUUUAGAAUUGCUUGAACUUAUUCACUCCUAUGUCCUCCAAAUCGAAUUUACUAGUUGAGUUUUACAAUUCAAGUUUUGUAUACAUUAGAAACUCAUUGCAGAUAGAUUAUUUUUAACAGGGUAACAAAGUUGUGUUCAUGCUCGCAUUUGUGUUCGGUGUACCCAAUGCUUGUCAAAGAAAGAUAUUUGUAGACUUCCUAAGCAUUGCUUCUGUAUUACUUUUUAGCUUGAAAUACUAUUUUCUAUGGUGGAAGGUUGAUAGCUCUGCAUUACUGUUCUAAAUUGCGACUAUUUGGUGCUUAAGGGCGUCAAGAUUAUGAUAGCCUUGAUUUAUAUAUAUCUUCUUGGUUCA